RNAcentral lists this non-coding RNA (46 nucleotides) under Trichobilharzia regenti. The record is from RNAcentral. Lineage: Eukaryota; Metazoa; Platyhelminthes; Trematoda; Strigeidida; Schistosomatidae.
GCACUUCUGAAAAGUCCCAAAAUAGGACGAAACAGCUGUCGAGUAC